AUGAGCAAACUUUAAUAAUUAAGGUAAUAGAUUUGUGACAUACUUAAAAUAUAAAAAGGCGAUUAUAAUCUAUGAUAAAUCAUUACAUAUAUUACAUAUCGUAAAUCUAUUGUCUUAAAUGGAUAGACUAAAGUAAAUUAGGAUUUUAUAUUUAAUCUUGAAUAAAUUACAUACAUUGAUUUUUGUGUAUUUAUUUAUUAUGCUUAAGCAGAAUUUUACUCUUUUUAUUUCUUUAUUUUUUCAAUUUAUUUUUUUUUUAACUUAUGUUUAUAAUUGAAGAUUUUGUAUUUAUAAUCUAUUUUUACAGAGAGGUGAUUUGCUUUACACUGUAUAGCAAUUUUAUGUUUCAACUCACAUUACAAAGAAAAUAUGAAAGAGAAAAAUAUUAGCAAAAGAAUUUUAGAAAGUUACUAACAUAAAAAAUGAUCUAAUAUUAUCAGUAAUAGGCUCACUAUUGUUUCAACUAAUUUGCACAAGAAAAUCAAAAUUUAUUUUUGUUUUUAGCAAAUUUCACACAGAGAAAAGCUAUAUAUAAUUUGCUUAAGUAAUUAAAGAAAUAAAAAUUUAUUAUUUGUAUGGGUUUUUAUUUCUUUAAUUAUUUAAGUAAAUCAUGUUUUUAUUAGUAUUAAUAUAGUGCAAUGUAUAGUUUCCAAGAAAUACAAGGCUUUUUAGGAUAUUCUAAGAAGCACAGGUCUUUUGUAGACGCCCAUGGGAUGCUCAAAGGAUGUCCCUGGGGCAUCCCCUGAAUGACGUGUGCUGUUAGGGAAGGGAUGGGCUAGUUUUGGCAACUCUAUAUUAAACAUACUUUAUGUCCUGAAGUAUGUUUCUUCUAUUUCAUUAGAUCAUUUAUCUAGAUAAUUUAGAAAAUAAAAAUCAAAGAAAUAUUUUUUUUCCUUUUUAUGGAAUAGAAACUUAGCAUAUAUAAAGUUUAAAAUAUACAACUUUUUUUGAAAAUUUAUAAAAUUAUAUGAUUAUUUUCGAGAAAACUUUAUAUAUGUGCUCAGUAAUUAUUUCUUGCUGCCUAGCUUUAAUUUGAAUUUUAUAUUUGUUACAAAAUCAUUGUAGCAACAUAAAUAUAACUAACUUCCAGCUGCUGGGCAUUAAUAUUGACGAGUAAUAAAUACAUUUUUUUAUUGAGAUCACGAAUUUAAAACAAUUAUUUUAAAUAUGUAGCAAAUGUUUUAUACACAUGUACGUGUGUCUACGAUAAAUCAUUCUAACAAGUUAUUAUGAUCCGUUGCCUUAAAUGGAUAGACCUUAACAGAUUAAGGUUUGAGAUAUUUAACCCUGGGAAUAUAUAUAUGUAUGUUGGAAUUAAUUUAUCUUUAGUUACGAUGGUAAGCCAGAAAACUGCUGAGUUAUUUCUUGAACUCAAACACGUGGAGAAUCACGACACCUGGAAUAUAGUUGUGCAGUUUCUAGAAUCUACAACUCCAAGAAAAAUAUUAUGUAAUACGUUGAAGUUUAAAAGACUAAUUGAAGCAGAAUCUUUCGUUCUUUACAGAAACCUGUGUCGCAAGAAUUAUACCAAUGACAAAUGAUCGCAGAAAACAAUUAGUCGACAGUUAUGAUAGUGCACUAUGACGAGUAACAAAAGUCAUUCGACGCCUUUUAUGAAGCGUUAUCUCAAAAUCACGUAUUCACAAACAUGGAUGAUGAUGUAUCCCCGCAUUAUACGUUGAUGAUUAUUAUUUCAAGCAGAAACAGAAGAAAAAUUUACACGCCACAGUCAACACGUUUUUAUGUACUAUAAUUUCGAUGAAACAGCUGUCAUGACAAAUGCAAAAUAACAUAUUUGCCUAUUUUAAUUUUUACAUUAUUGCAGCGUUAAUUUUAAUUCUGUUAAAUUAUAAAGAAUAUUAUCUAUAUAUUGUGUAUGAAAUUGUCGCUCUACAAUAAUGCGAAAGUAAUUAGAAUAGAUAACAAUAUUUUUUGCAUUUGUUAUGACAGUUGUUUCAUCGAAAAUACAGUAGACAAAAUACUUGUCGACUGGCAGCAAAUGUAUUUGAAUGGUAAAUCAUACAUCAGAUUUGAUAGAAUCAACUUGAAAUGGCGUACUUUUGUUUAUAUGAAUUGAAUCUUUCAAUACAUUCUUAUUAGAAGACAAAUAUGUUAUUAUCUAUUAGAUAAUAUGGAUCAGAUAUCCACAUUAGCACAUAAAAAUAGAAAGUUUUUAUAUUUUAUUUGCAAGUAGAAAUGUAUAAAUUUCACACAUUGCUUGUCGAAAACUCUUAAUCGCUGAUCGAAGUAAUCAAAAUGAAAAAAAAAUAA
Molecule: long non-coding RNA, 2271 nt
Organism: Solenopsis invicta (red fire ant)
Lineage: Eukaryota; Metazoa; Arthropoda; Insecta; Hymenoptera; Formicidae
Exons: 3
Source: RefSeq, a predicted model, not a curated record